GAUGAACGCUGGCGGCGUGCCUAAUACAUGCAAGUCGAGCAAACAGACGAGGAGCUUGCUCCUCUGACGUUAGCGGCGAACGGGUGAGUAACACGUGGAUAACCUACCUAUAAGACUGGGAUAACUUCGGGAAACCGGAGCUAAUACCGGAUAAUAUAUUGAACCGCAUGGUUCAAUAGUGAAAGACGGUUUUGCUGUCACUUAUAGAUGGAUCCGCGCCGCAUUAGCUAGUUGGUAAGGUAACGGCUUACCAAGGCAACGAUGCGUAGCCGACCUGAGAGGGUGAUCGGCCACACUGGAACUGAGACACGGUCCAGACUCCUACGGGAGGCAGCAGUAGGGAAUCUUCCGCAAUGGGCGAAAGCCUGACGGAGCAACGCCGCGUGAGUGAUGAAGGUCUUCGGAUCGUAAAACUCUGUUAUUAGGGAAGAACAAAUGUGUAAGUAACUAUGCACGUCUUGACGGUACCUAAUCAGAAAGCCACGGCUAACUACG
Molecule: ribosomal RNA, 495 nt
Filed under: uncultured bacterium
Lineage: Bacteria
Description: partial 16S ribosomal RNA
Rfam family: Bacterial small subunit ribosomal RNA
Source: RNAcentral